AAACCAACAGGGAUUGCCUUAGUAACGGCGAGUGAAGCGGCAAAAGCUCAAAUUUGAAAGCCUCGGCAUUGUAAUUUCAAGACUCUAAGAAAAUAACGUUCACAAGUCCAUUGGAAAAUGGCGCCACAGAGGGUGACAGCCCCGUAGAACAAAAAACAUCUUAGGGCCAAAGAGUCGAGUUGUUUGGGAAUGCAGCUCUAAUGGUGGUAAAUUCCAUCAAAAGCUAAAUACUGGCGAGAGACCGAUAGCGAACAAGUACAGUGAUGGAAAGAUGAAAAGCACUUUGAAAAGAGAGUGAAACAGUACGUGAAAUUGUUGGAAGGGAAGGGCUUGCAAGCAGACACGGUUCGUCCGGGCCAGCAUCAGUUGCAGGGGUGUCACAAAACGUCAAGAAUGUAAGCUUCGGUGGUUAUAGCUUGGCGCAAUGGCACCUCCCGCGACUGAGGCCUGCAUUCCUUUAGGAUGCUGGCGUAAUGGUUGCAAGUCGC
RNAcentral lists this ribosomal RNA (488 nucleotides) under Australozyma saccharicola. RNAcentral's name for it is "eukaryotic LSU rRNA". It matches the Rfam family "Eukaryotic large subunit ribosomal RNA", at positions 62 to 648 of the family's 3401-position model. Lineage: Eukaryota; Fungi; Ascomycota; Pichiomycetes; Serinales; Metschnikowiaceae. The record is from RNAcentral.